AACGAACGCUGGCGGCAGGCCUAACACAUGCAAGUCGAGCGAGAACUUCGGUUCUAGCGGCGGACGGGUUAGUAACGCGUGGGAAUAUGCCCUUCACUACGGAAUAGUCCCGGGAAACUGGGUUUAAUACCGUAUACGCCCUUCGGGGGAAAGAUUUAUCGGUGAAGGAUUAGCCCGCGUUGGAUUAGGUAGUUGGUGGGGUAAUGGCCUACCAAGCCGACGAUCCAUAGCUGGUUUGAGAGGAUGAUCAGCAACACUGGGACUGAGACACGGCCCAGACUCCUACGGGAGGCAGCAGUGGGGAAUCUUCCACAAUGGGCGCAAGCCUGAUGGAGCAACGCCGCGUGAAUGAAGAAGGUCUUCGGAUCGUAAAGUUCUGUUAUUAGAGAAGAACACGUGUAAGAGUAACUGAUUAUGCGUUGACGGUAUCUAAUCAGCAAGUCACGGCUAACUACGUGCCAGCCGCCGCAGUAAAAC
Molecule: ribosomal RNA, 477 nt
Filed under: uncultured bacterium
Lineage: Bacteria
Description: bacterial SSU rRNA
Rfam family: Bacterial small subunit ribosomal RNA
Source: RNAcentral